Peromyscus maniculatus bairdii (prairie deer mouse) is the source of this 867-nucleotide non-coding RNA. Lineage: Eukaryota; Metazoa; Chordata; Mammalia; Rodentia; Cricetidae. The record is from RefSeq and is a predicted model, not a curated record.
AGGAGUCGCCCGCUGCCCAAAGGGUUUUAGCGGACGCCGCCCGCCCCCAACCAGGACCGGCGUCGGCACCCCCAGGCUGGGCGCAGUCUCCGGGGUUCCUUCCGGUUCACACCCUCUGUUACUCCGUGAUCCUCUGGGCUCCAGAGCGAGGAACCCUGGGCCUUUGUACACGUGUCUGUGCGCCUGCUGGUGCGGGGGGGGGUGGGGGGAGAUUGUCUCUUUUGAAUUUCCAUAGCAACUGCUCCCGUGUCACCCUAUUGCUCCCAAAGGUUUAAGCAGUUGCGUGUGCAAAUUUACAUAUAUCUGCAUGUCAUUAACAUAGAGGCGGAGCCGGAACUUGUUUGGGCAACUAUCCCUGGACAGUUCCCCUCGCUUUGCUUUCAUCCCGUCCGAUGGCCACCUGGACUGCGCAUGCAAACAUCCCAACCGAAGACUCAGUUCCCUAAGCAACACCGAGAGUUGUUGGACCCCAGUCCUGCCUUUCCUGGCUGUGUCAUCUUAGCUCCAGAGAUGACAGGAAGAACUUCCAUAUGUCAGGGCAGGCUGGAUUCCAGGCAUGGGAUGAGAAAUACUGGCCAAGCCAGGGGGAAGAGCCACCUCCCAAAGCCAGGACUGACUUGCAGAGACCACAGUCGCCUGCUGCUCCCCUGCUGACCACCAUCCAAUGGAAGUCUACAGAAAGUGAUGGCUGGGUGAAAUAGAUCUGAGGACCCCACAGAUCCCCUGCCAAACGUCUCCCUGUCGGACCCUCCCACCCAGUCCUGCCAGCCUGCUCUUUCUUUGACUCCACUUCGUCUCUGGUUUUCAUUCAUUUGUUCAUCCAUUCAUUUGUUUGUCUUCUCAUUUAUUCAGCCAAUAAAGACAUUA